CAUGUACUCCCUCCGUCCGGAAAUACUUGUCAUCAAAAUUAAUAAAAGGGGAUGUAUUUAGAUGUAUUUUAGUUUUAGAUACAUCCUUUUUUGUCCAUUUUGAUGACAAGAUUUUCGAACGGACGGAGUACGUG
Triticum aestivum (bread wheat) is the source of this 134-nucleotide non-coding RNA. The record is from Rfam. Lineage: Eukaryota; Viridiplantae; Streptophyta; Magnoliopsida; Poales; Poaceae.